This 442-nucleotide ribosomal RNA is filed under the name uncultured bacterium. Its description in RNAcentral is "partial 16S ribosomal RNA". It matches the Rfam family "Bacterial small subunit ribosomal RNA", at positions 338 to 795 of the family's 1533-position model. The record is from RNAcentral.
CCUACGGGAGGCAGCAGUGGGGGAUAUUGGACAAUGGGGGGAACCCUGAUCCAGCGACGCCGCGUGAGUGAAGAAGUAUCUCGGUAUGUAAAGCUCUAUCAGCAGGGAAGAAGAAAUGACGGUACCUGAGUAAGAAGCCCCGGCUAACUACGUGCCAGCAGCCGCGGUAAUACGUAGGGGGCAAGCGUUAUCCGGAAUUACUGGGUGUAAAGGGAGCGUAGACGGUGAUGUAAGUCUGGAGUGAAAGGCGGGGGCCCAACCCCCGGACUGCUCUGGAAACUAUGUGACUGGAGUGCAGGAGAGGUGAGCGGAAUUCCUAGUGUAGCGGUGAAAUGCGUAGAUAUUAGGAGGAACACCGGCGGCGAAGGCGGCCUGCUGGACCGCGACUGACGUUGAGGCUCGAAAGCGUGGGGAGCGAACAGGAUUAGAUACCCCAGUAGUC